AUUGAACGCUGGCGGCAGGCCUAACACAUGCAAGUCGAGCGGAUGAAGGGAGCUUGCUCCUGGAUUCAGCGGCGGACGGGUGAGUAAUGCCUAGGAAUCUGCCUGGUAGUGGGGGAUAACGUCCGGAAACGGGCGCUAAUACCGCAUACGUCCUGAGGGAGAAAGUGGGGGAUCUUCGGACCUCACGCUAUCAGAUGGGCCUAGGUCGGAUUAGCUAGUUGGUGGGGUAUAGGCCUACCAAGGCGACGAUCCGUAACUGGUCUGAGAGGAUGAUCAGUCACACUGGAACUGAGACACGGUCCAGACUCCUACGGGAGGCAGCAGUGGGGAAUAUUGGACAAUGGGCGAAAGCCUGAUCCAGCCAUGCCGCGUGUGUGAAGAAGGUCUUCGGAUUGUAAAGCACUUUAAGUUGGGAGGAAGGGCAGUAAGUUAAUACCUUGCUGUUUUGACGUUACCAACAGAAUAAGCACCGGCUAACUUCGUG
Molecule: ribosomal RNA, 484 nt
Filed under: uncultured bacterium
Lineage: Bacteria
Description: partial 16S ribosomal RNA
Rfam family: Bacterial small subunit ribosomal RNA
Source: RNAcentral